This is a non-coding RNA of Aspergillus carlsbadensis, 131 nucleotides long. Lineage: Eukaryota; Fungi; Ascomycota; Eurotiomycetes; Eurotiales; Aspergillaceae. The record is from the annotation of a GenBank genome assembly.
GGCAGUAUGGCCGAGUGGUCUAAGGCGGUAGGCUUGAAUCCCAGAAACGGAAAUUCCGGCAACGGAAAGUCCGAAAGGGAAAAGUUAACCUACUCUCUUCGGAGGCGUGUGUUCGAACCACACUGCUGUCG